AGGCUGGCCUUGAACUCAGAAAUCCGCCUGCCUCUGCCUCCCGAGUGCUGGGAUUAAAGGCCUGCGCCACCAGGCCCGGUGUCUGAUUCUAUUUGCUUUCUCACAAAUUAGUGUCGGACAAAUCGAACCUUAACGCCUUUGCCCACAACCCAGCCGGCUCACUCGCUGUACAGGUUGCUCCAGAUCAAGGGGCGUGGACUUCUGUAUCAACUCAGCAUUGAUUGGCUCUCA
RNAcentral lists this long non-coding RNA (231 nucleotides) under Mus pahari (shrew mouse). RNAcentral's name for it is "predicted gene 42470 (MGP_PahariEiJ_G0004327.1)". The record is from RNAcentral. Lineage: Eukaryota; Metazoa; Chordata; Mammalia; Rodentia; Muridae.